GAAUAGCUCAGUUGGUUAGAGUGUGGGGCCGAUAAUGCCAAGAUUGCAGGUUCGAACCCUGUAUGGGACA
This is a non-coding RNA of Podarcis lilfordi (Lilford's wall lizard), 70 nucleotides long. The record is from the annotation of a GenBank genome assembly. Lineage: Eukaryota; Metazoa; Chordata; Lepidosauria; Squamata; Lacertidae.